GUGCAGCAGGCGAGAAACCUCCGCAAUACACGAAAGUGUGACGGGGCCAUCCCGAGUGCCGUCCGCUGAGGACGGCUUUUCCCCAGUGUACACAGCUGGGGGAAUAAGGAGAGGGCAAGCCUGGUGUCAGCCGCCGCGGUAAUACCAGCUCUCCGAGUGGUGGGGACGCUUAUUGGGCCUAAAGCAUCCGUAGCCGGCUGGGCAAGUCCUCCGUUAAAUCCAACGAUUCAAUCGUUGGGCUGCGGGGGUACUGUCCAGCUUGGGGGCGGGAGAGGCCGACGGUAUUCCCGGGGUAGGGGUGAAAUCCUAUAAUCCCGGGAGGACCACCAGUGGCGAAGGCUGUCGGCUAGAACGCGCCCGACGGUGAGGGAUGAAAGCUGGGGGAGCGAACCGGAUUAGAUACCCGGUA
This 409-nucleotide ribosomal RNA is filed under the name uncultured microorganism. RNAcentral's name for it is "bacterial SSU rRNA". It matches the Rfam family "Archaeal small subunit ribosomal RNA", at positions 330 to 742 of the family's 1478-position model. The record is from RNAcentral.